Molecule: transfer RNA, 68 nt
Filed under: chicken gut metagenome
Rfam family: tRNA
About the family: Transfer RNA (tRNA) molecules are approximately 80 nucleotides in length. Their secondary structure includes four short double-helical elements and three loops (D, anti-codon, and T loops).
Source: RNAcentral
CAGGUGUAGUUCAAUGGUAGAACUUCAGCCUUCCAAGCUGAUAACGUGGGUCCGAUUCCCAUCACCUG